Molecule: ribosomal RNA, 440 nt
Filed under: uncultured bacterium
Lineage: Bacteria
Description: partial 16S ribosomal RNA
Rfam family: Bacterial small subunit ribosomal RNA
Source: RNAcentral
CCUACGGGAGGCAGCAGUAGGGAAUAUUGCACAAUGGGGGGAACCCUGAUGCAGCAACGCCGCGUGAGUGAAGAAGUAUUUCGGUAUGUAAGGCUCUAUCAGCAGGGAAGAAAAUGACGGUACCUGCCUAAGAAGCCCCGGCUAACUACGUGCCAGCAGCCGCGGUAAUACGUAGGGGGCAAGCGUUAUCCGGAUUUACUGGGGGUAAAGGGCGCGCAGGCGGCUGUGCAAGUCUGGAGUGAAAGGCGGGGGCCCAACCCCCGGACUGCUCUGGAAACUGUAAAGCUGGAGUGCAGGAGAGGUAAGGGGAAUUCCUAGUGUAGCGGUGAAAUGCGUAGAUAUUAGGAGGAACACCAGUGGCGAAGGCGGUUUACUGGACCGCAACUGACGCUGAGGCUCGAAAGCGUGGGGAGCAAAUAGGAUUAGAUACCCCUGUAGUC